GAUGAACGCUGGCGGCGCGCCUAACACAUGCAAGUCGAACGGUUAAAGCACCUUUUAGGUGUGUAUAAAGUGGCGAACGGCUGAGUAACACGUGGGCAACCUGCCCUCCUCUUGGGGAUAGCCUCGGGAAACCGAGGAUAAUACCCGAUACUUCAAUGUGGCCGCAUGACGACAUUGAGAAAGCUUUUGCGGAGAAGGAUGGGCCCGCGGCCUGUUAGCUUGUUGGUGGGGUAGAGGCCUACCAAGGCAAUGAUGGGUAGCUGGGUUGAGAGACCGACCAGCCAGAUUGGGACUGAGACACGGCCCAGACUCCUACGGGAGGCAGCAGUGGGGAAUCUUGCACAAUGGGCGAAAGCCUGAUGCAGCGACGCCGCGUGCGGGACGAAGGCCUUCGGGUUGUAAACCGCUUUCAGCAGGGACGAGGCGAAAGUGACGGUACCUGCAGAAGAAGCCCCGGCUAACUCCGUGCCAGCAGCCGCGGUAAUACGGAGGGGGCAAGCGUUAUCCGGAAUUAUUGGGCGUAAAGGGUACGUAGGUGGCCUUUUAAGCGUAGGGUAUAAGGCAAUGGCUCAACCAUUGUUCGCCCUAUGAACUGGAAGGCUUGAGUGCAGGAGAGGAAAGCGGAAUUCCUAGUGUAGCGGUGGAAUGCAUAGAUAUUAGGAGGAACAUCAGCGGCGAAGGCGGCUUUCUGGACUGCAACUGACACUGAGGUACGAAAGCGUGGGGAGCAAACAGG
This 736-nucleotide ribosomal RNA is filed under the name uncultured Atopobium sp. Its description in RNAcentral is "bacterial SSU rRNA". It matches the Rfam family "Bacterial small subunit ribosomal RNA", at positions 28 to 776 of the family's 1533-position model. The record is from RNAcentral. Lineage: Bacteria; Bacillati; Actinomycetota; Coriobacteriia; Coriobacteriales; Atopobiaceae.